UCGAGCGGUAACAGAAAGUAGCUUGCUACUUUGCUGACGAGCGGCGGACGGGUGAGUAAUGCUUGGGAACAUGCCUUGAGGUGGGGGACAACAGUUGGAAACGACUGCUAAUACCGCAUAAUGUCUACGGACCAAAGGGGGCUUCGGCUCUCGCCUUUAGAUUGGCCCAAGUGGGAUUAGCUAGUUGGUGAGGUAAUGGCUCACCAAGGCAACGAUCCCUAGCUGGUUUGAGAGGAUGAUCAGCCACACUGGAACUGAGACACGGUCCAGACUCCUACGGGAGGCAGCAGUGGGGAAUAUUGCACAAUGGGCGCAAGCCUGAUGCAGCCAUGCCGCGUGUGUGAAGAAGGCCUUCGGGUUGUAAAGCACUUUCAGUCAGGAGGAAAGGUUAGUAGUUAAUACCUGCUAGCUGUGACGUUACUGACAGAAGAAGCACCGGCUAACUCCGUGCCAGCAGCCGCGGUAAUACGGAGGGUGCGAGCGUUAAUCGGAAUUACUGGGCGUAAAGCGUACGCAGGCGGUUUGUUAAGCGAGAUGUGAAAGCCCCGGGCUCAACCUGGGAACUGCAUUUCGAACUGGCAAACUAGAGUGUGAUAGAGGGUGGUAGAAUUUCAGGUGUAGCGGUGAAAUGCGUAGAGAUCUGAAGGAAUACCGAUGGCG
RNAcentral lists this ribosomal RNA (660 nucleotides) under Pseudoalteromonas sp. RNAcentral's name for it is "bacterial SSU rRNA". It matches the Rfam family "Bacterial small subunit ribosomal RNA", at positions 62 to 717 of the family's 1533-position model. The record is from RNAcentral. Lineage: Bacteria; Pseudomonadati; Pseudomonadota; Gammaproteobacteria; Alteromonadales; Pseudoalteromonadaceae.